This 451-nucleotide ribosomal RNA is filed under the name uncultured bacterium. RNAcentral describes it as "partial 16S ribosomal RNA". It matches the Rfam family "Bacterial small subunit ribosomal RNA", at positions 354 to 796 of the family's 1533-position model. The record is from RNAcentral.
GUGGGGAAUAUUGCGCAAUGGGGGAAACCCUGACGCAGCGACGCCGUGUGAGGGAAGAAGGCUUUCGGGUCGUAAACCUCUGUCAGAAAGGAAGAACCUCCCAAGUCCGAAUAGGGCUUGUGACUGACGGUACUUUCAAAGGAAGCACCGGCUAACUCCGUGCCAGCAGCCGCGGUAAUACGGAGGGUGCAAGCGUUAAUCGGAAUCACUGGGCGUAAAGCGCGCGUAGGCCGCUUUGUAAGUCGGACGUGAAAGCCCUCGGCUCAACCGGGGAACUGCGUUCGGUACUGCGAGGCUUGAGUCCUGGAGAGGGUGGCGGAAUUCCGGGUGUAGGAGUGAAAUCCGUAGAUAUCCGGAGGAACACCGGUGGCGAAGGCGGCCACCUGGACAGGUACUGACGCUGAGGCGCGAAAGCGUGGGGAGCAAACAGGAUUAGAUACCCCAGUAGUCC